ACCGCCGCCGCCGUCAGCUGACCCGGGGAGGAGCGGAGCGGCCCCGCCGCGCGGACAACCGCGGCUGGCUGCGGGAAGAAACGGAGGGGGAUCCCGAUGUGUUGGUGGCUUGCUGAAGGUUUCUCUGAUGUUUGAAGGCAUCAGUUUUCCACUUAUGAGCUGCUAAGGGAUCCUGGAGUGUUUACAGGAGAUGGAGAGGUCCUUUGGAUUAAGCACAUCCAGGAAAGGCAACACCACUGUCCCAAGUUUAUAUCUGCUCGAGAAGCGUUUCCUGAAAAACAAGUAGGGACCUAAAAACUGGAAAACUGAACCUAAAAAGCUGGCAAAGCAACUCUGAAAUAGUACUGAGGAGAACAUCAUCACUACCCAUGCUUUCUGGAAGUUUUCUGGGUUUUCUGGGCAUUAUUUUGGUGCAUGGUGACUUGUCUGGAGCCUGUCAGCACCAAAGAAGGUACCAGAUAUUCCAAGACUCCGUGGAAGCACGGAUUUAAAACGUGUGGAUGGAUGACAAAGAGCUCAGCCAACCAUGUGAAAUAUUGCCAUCUAACAGCUUUUUGGGGAGAUUUCGCCUAAACUGAAUUGGCAGCCUGGAGUUCAGCAAGCAAAGUAUGCAAAUGAAAAUUGAUACUCCUCUUAGCAACUGGAAGCGAAAGGGCAGGGCCGGAGCGCGCUCCGGGAUGAACUCAGCCCUCGGAGAUGGAGACGGAGGUGCACUGAUGGGAAAAGUGCCCGGCUCUUCUGUCUGCGGCGCGUCCCUCGCAUGGAUAAAUACACCACUCGCUGUUCAUCACUGUCAGGAAAAUUGUCACUUCUCACGAGCGCCACAUUAAUUAAAAGUGAGAGUUAGGGCCGGGGAGCUGAGCGCUCGGAAUCCUUCGGAAGGGGGAUGGAGUGGUGCGUUCUGAGCGUGUCGUGCGCUCUGGGGCCACUGCUGCCGCUCAGUGAAACGAAACGGGUGCCAGAACGAGGGGAAAUCAAUCUGAACUCGUGGGAAAUUAAUUGAUUUCCAAACCUCUUGUAGCCCUUGCCCCCUUCAGCCAACGGGGCCGUGUAAGGUCGGCAGACCGGCUUGUGAAACUGCGUAGCAGAAUAAAAAUUGUAUUUAUCGACUUUGA
Lonchura striata (white-rumped munia) is the source of this 1115-nucleotide non-coding RNA. The record is from RefSeq and is a predicted model, not a curated record. Lineage: Eukaryota; Metazoa; Chordata; Aves; Passeriformes; Estrildidae.